This 400-nucleotide unclassified non-coding RNA is filed under the name plant metagenome. RNAcentral's name for it is "partial contains small subunit ribosomal RNA and internal transcribed spacer 1". The stretch from base 16 to 222 matches the Rfam family "Group I catalytic intron". From Rfam's summary of the family: Group I catalytic introns are large self-splicing ribozymes. They catalyse their own excision from mRNA, tRNA and rRNA precursors in a wide range of organisms. The record is from RNAcentral.
AAGUCGUAACAAGGUUUCCGUAGGUCAAGUUUUGCCUACUAGAACAGCGCUAUGCACUGUUAGUCUCCCUGGGAGGCGACACACUCAACAUGCGGAAAGGCCCAUGAAGGGAAAUCCGCAGCCCGUCCCCCUUACCCGGGGAUCGGUUCAGAGGCUCAAUGAGUGUGGGUUUGGCUUUCAGCCAGGCUUGAGAUAGAGUCCGUCCCUGCUGGCAACUGCAGGGACUUGACGAAACCUGCGGAAGGAUCAUUAAAGAAUAUCAGGCUUCACAGCCCUAUUCUCACCCUAUGUAUUUGAAACUUCGUUGCUUUGGCAGGCCCCUGGCUUCGGCUGGACAGCGCCUGCCAGAGGAUCUAAACCCUUGAAUCUCUGCUGUCUGAGUACUAUACAAUAGUUAAAA